GUUAUCGUUUAUUUGAUAGUACCUCACUACAUGGAUAACUGUGGUAAUUCUAGAGCUAAUACAUGCUAAAAACCUCGACUUCGGAAGGGGUGUAUUUAUUAGAUNAAAAACCAAUGCCCUUCGGGGCUCCNNGGUGAAUCAUAAUAACUCGACGAAUCGCAUGGCCUUGCGCCGGCGAUGGUUCAUUCAAAUUUCUGCCCUAUCAACUUUCGAUGGUAGGAUAGUGGCCUACCAUGGUUUCAACGGGUAACGGGGAAUUAGGGUUCGACUCCGGAGAGGGAGCCUGAGAAACGGCUACCACAUCCAAGGAAGGCAGCAGGCGCGCAAAUUACCCAAUCCCGACACGGGGAGGUAGUGACAAUAAAUACUGAUACAGGGCUCUUUUGGGUCUUGUAAUUGGAAUGAGUACAAUUUAAAUCCCUUAACGAGGAACAAUUGGAGGGCAAGUCUGGUGCCAGCAGCCGCGGUAAUUCCAGCUCCAAUAGCGUAUAUUAAAGUUGUUGCAGUUAAAAAGCUCGUAGUUGAACCUUGGGCCUGGCUGGCCGGUCCGCCUCACCGCGUGUACUGGUCCGGCCGGGCCUUUCCUUCUGGGGAACCGCAUGCCCUUCACUGGGCGUGUCGGGGAACCAGGACUUUUACUUUGAAAAAAUUAGAGUGUUCAAAGCAGGCCUUUGCUCGAAUACAUUAGCAUGGAAUAAUAGAAUAGG
Molecule: ribosomal RNA, 707 nt
Filed under: Alyxoria varia
Lineage: Eukaryota; Fungi; Ascomycota; Arthoniomycetes; Arthoniales; Lecanographaceae
Description: SSU rRNA
Rfam family: Eukaryotic small subunit ribosomal RNA
Source: RNAcentral